AACAAGCUGAACAAAACUAUCAUCCAAGGCAAACAUGCCCUCCCAAACUGGACCAUCCAUGGGCUCGUGGAGUUCAUCUCUGGUGGGCCUCAGCCAGGUGGCAUGUUCUUCCCUGUCCCCCAUGGUGUCCAUGCAGUUCGUCUAGGCAAUGAGGCCUCCAUCUCCCAGAACAUCACUGUUAAGCCGCGUUCCUUGUACUCCCUCACCUUCACUACCACAAGGACGUGCGCGCAAGAUGAGGUACUGCGUGUCUCGGUCCCACCGCUCACUGGUGAUCUCCCUAUCCAGACUCUAUAUAGCACCAAAGGCGAUGCAUAUGCCUGGAGCUUCGUCGCAUCAAAUGCCACUGUUACGAUAGUGUUCCACAACCCUGG
RNAcentral lists this unclassified non-coding RNA (374 nucleotides) under Hevea brasiliensis (rubber tree). Lineage: Eukaryota; Viridiplantae; Streptophyta; Magnoliopsida; Malpighiales; Euphorbiaceae. The record is from RNAcentral.